RNAcentral lists this ribosomal RNA (468 nucleotides) under uncultured bacterium. RNAcentral describes it as "partial 16S ribosomal RNA". It matches the Rfam family "Bacterial small subunit ribosomal RNA", at positions 28 to 507 of the family's 1533-position model. The record is from RNAcentral.
GACGAACGCUGGCGGCGUGCUUAACACAUGCAAGUCGAACGGAAAGGCCCUGCUUUUGCGGGGUGCUCGAGUGGCGAACGGGUGAGUAACACGUGAGUAACCUGCCCUUGACUUUGGGAUAACUUCAGGAAACUGGGGCUAAUACCGGAUAGGAGCUCCUGCUGCAUGGUGGGGGUUGGAAAGUUUCGGCGGUUGGGGAUGGACUCGCGGCUUAUCAGCUUGUUGGUGGGGUAGUGGCUUACCAAGGCUUUGACGGGUAGCCGGCCUGAGAGGGUGACCGGCCACAUUGGGACUGAGAUACGGCCCAGACGCCUACGGGAGGCAGCAGUGGGGAAUAUUGCACAAUGGGCGGAAGCCUGAUGCAGCAACGCCGCGUGCGGGAUGACGGCCUUCGGGUUGUAAACCGCUUUCGCCUGUGACGAAGCGUGAGUGACGGUAAUGGGUAAAGAAGCACCGGCUAACUACGUG